This 402-nucleotide ribosomal RNA is filed under the name uncultured bacterium. Its description in RNAcentral is "bacterial SSU rRNA". It matches the Rfam family "Bacterial small subunit ribosomal RNA", at positions 355 to 774 of the family's 1533-position model. The record is from RNAcentral.
UGGGGAAUAUUGGACAAUGGGCGCAAGCCUGAUCCAGCCAUGCCGCGUGAGUGAUGAAGGCCUUAGGGUUGUAAAGCUCUUUUAGCGGGGAAGAUAAUGACGGUACCCGCAGAAAAAGCCCCGGCUAACUUCGUGCCAGCAGCCGCGGUAAUACGAAGGGGGCUAGCGUUGCUCGGAAUUACUGGGCGUAAAGCGCACGUAGGCGGACUCUUAAGUCGGUGGUGAAAUCCUGGAGCUCAACUCCAGAACUGCCUUCGAUACUGGGAGUCUUGAGUUCGGGAGAGGUGAGUGGAACUGCGAGUGUAGAGGUGAAAUUCGUAGAUAUUCGCAAGAACACCCGUGGCGAAGGCGGCUCACUGGCCCGAUACUGACGCUGAGGUGCGAAAGCGUGGGGAGCAAACA